RNAcentral lists this ribosomal RNA (446 nucleotides) under uncultured bacterium. Its description in RNAcentral is "partial 16S ribosomal RNA". It matches the Rfam family "Bacterial small subunit ribosomal RNA", at positions 338 to 795 of the family's 1533-position model. The record is from RNAcentral.
CCUACGGGGGGCAGCAGUCGAGAAUCAUUCACAAUGGGGGAAACCCUGAUGGUGCGACGCCGCGUGGGGGAAUGAAGGUCUUCGGAUUGUAAACCCCUGUCAUGUGGGAGCAAAUUAAAAAGAUAGUACCACAAGAGGAAGAGACGGCUAACUCUGUGCCAGCAGCCGCGGUAAUACAGAGGUCUAAAGCGUUGUUCGGAAUCACUGGGCGUAAAGGGUGCGUAGGCUGUUUCGUAAGUCGUGUGUGAAAGGCGCGGGCUCAACCCGCGGACGGCACAUGAUACUGCGAGACUAGAGUAAUGGAGGGGGAACCGGAAUUCUCGGUGUAGCAGUGAAAUGCGUAGAUCUCGAGAGGAACACUCGUGGCGAAGGCGGGUUCCUGGACAUUAACUGACGCUGAGGCACGAAGGCCAGGGGAGCGAAAGGGAUUAGAUACCCCAGUAGUC